UUUAGGAAUACCAACCUCAUUCAACAAAGAUGAGAUGAGACAAUUAUUCAACGCUAAACUGGAUAGACUAGCCUCCGAAAAAAGAUCAAAUAGUGGUUUUCUGACCAAAGAGAAAUACACAGAAGUAAUAUCAGAAAUAAAGCAAAUAAAAGAGAAGAUUCAUCCAACACCAUUGGAUUUACAAAAAUUGAAACGAUUUGAUAUUAUCAAUGUUGGAGGCGUUGAACAACUUAUUUAUCCAACUUCUGAUUCCAAGCCAAUUUACUACGUCACUACAGACGAAUUAUUUGACAUUGUGCAUGAUGCGCAUCUCUUACUUAAUCAUGGCGGAAGAAAUAAAAUGAUUAAAGAGAUCAAUAAGCAAUUCAAGAAUGUUACCAGAGAAAUUGUUAUGAUUUAUUUGCACAUGUGUAACUGCAGAAACACGGGUUAAAAUUGUAUCUCAGGGAUAUUAAAAAUAAUUAAACUAAUUAUAGUAUAUUAAAUGGAAUUGAACUUAUAUUAAUUUUUUAAUAAAAUUGUUUGGUAAUAAAGUAAUCGUUUUAUUUUUAAAUCCUAAAUUUUUGUGUUUAAUACGUAUUAACUAGUGGCAAAAAGUUCUUUAACACAUUUUUAAUUGUUACAUUUUAGGUGUCCCGUAUCAUCCCUGCUUGACUUGUGGGAAAAGCUACAAGCACAGAAGAAACUUGAACAGACACAUUCAAUACGAAUGCCAAACAGUUCCUAGAUUUUCAUGUAACAUUUGUUCCAGAAGGUUUAACUACAAAACAAGCUUAAAGAGCCACCAACUAACCCACUUUAAAUUGCCAUCGUAAUACUAAAUUGUUUUCGUUGCCAAACAUAAUCCAAAAAGUAUUUAGAUUAUAGGAUUUUAUAAUAAGAUUAUGAUCUUGUGUUUUUUAAAUGUAAUUAAAUAAGUUUGAGUUGAGCCUCAACUAAAUUAAAAACUAUUGAUAUACUGUGACAUUUUUGUUGUUUUUUUUUUUCGACUUAAAUAAUUUCGAAGUAAGUAUUUUAGCACUAUUUUUAUAACUUAAAUCUUCACUUUCUAAUAUCUCCUAUCAAAUCACUUAGAUUAGGUAUAUUGUGUUUAACCUUAGAUUUACUGUGUUUGUUUCAGGUUUUCAAAACUACACAUCACCAGUGCUGGAAACCUUCUCGUGUCCGAAAUGUUUCAAGGUCUACAAAUUCAGGACGAGUUUGUACAGACACAAACGCCAAAUACUCGGAUAGCACAUUCAGUUGUGCACGUUGCGGCAAAUUUUACAAGAACCAGACAACAUUAAGCCGCCACGUCCAUCACGAAUGCGGCAAAGAUCCGAAACACGAAUGUCCAGCCUGCUUGAGAAAGUUCAAGAGGAAGGACAGAAUGAAAAGUCACUACAGAUAUGUGCACUGUCCUAAAACAAACAUUAGUCACCAUUAGUCGAAUGUUAAUAAUAUUAAUAAAUGUUGAACGUAA
Long non-coding RNA from Aethina tumida (small hive beetle), 1462 nucleotides. RefSeq lists it as uncharacterized. The transcript is spliced from 2 exons. NCBI's taxonomy places the organism in Eukaryota, Metazoa, Arthropoda, Insecta, Coleoptera, Nitidulidae. The record is from RefSeq and is a predicted model, not a curated record.